Molecule: long non-coding RNA, 1389 nt
Filed under: Trifolium pratense (red clover)
Lineage: Eukaryota; Viridiplantae; Streptophyta; Magnoliopsida; Fabales; Fabaceae
Description: long non-coding RNA (TPRA_LNC005740)
Source: RNAcentral
AACUCUGAAGGAAUAUAACCUGCAAUGUCUGCAUUAUUAAGAUCAAUUCCAGCUACAACUUGAACUUUUGAAUCAUUAAGAGAAGGUGCACAAAAAAUUCCUUGGUAAGAACAUACAUCAGGACCCACCCAAUUCAUCGUAACAUUUGAUGGGUCUGAAUAAAUUGCAUUUUUCCAUGCUUGAAGUGCUAUGUAAGCACUUUUGAUUCCAGGAUGAGGAAAAGUUAAAUUUGUUGUAUAGUUAUCUGCGAAAUUUUCAGGUAAAUCCUCGCUUUCUUGAAGGUGUAACAAUUGACGACGGGCAAUAAAAGAAGCUUCUUCAUGUGAAAGUGCAUGGGAUAAAAUUGAUGUUGAUGAAAAGAAGACAAAUGAGAACAAGAGAAAGCAGCCUGGGGCUUGCAUUUUGUGAAGACGCCACCUUGGUAUACACUCCAAGGUUGCUUAUAGAGAGGUAAUUAAGAAGGAAGGGGGAAGAAGAUAAAUUAAGAAGGGAUAUAAUUAUCUUGAGAGACAGAAGAAUGAAAUGUGUGUAUUAAGCCAUAUAUGAGAGGCUAUGCAAAUAUUUCUGAAUAAUCCACAAUAGGAAUAACCUUUAUACAAAAUGUUGGUGACAUAAAAUUAGAACAUGUUUUCUUUGUCUCAAAUUCUCAACCCAUUGUCGUGUCUCUAAUUUUAGAGGGUGGUUUCAACCAUGGUUUUCAUUGCCUUAAUUUGGCAAUUAAAGUUUUCCUUGCCUAAAUUUGCGAUUCAUGUAGUAUCUCUCAGAGUUAACAACCAUUUGUCUAGUUAGUGGUUAAUAUAUCUACGUAUAAAAUAAAACCUAUGAUGUUUAGUUAGUGGUUAAUAUAUCUACCUAGAAAAUAAAACCUACGAUUAAUUCCAUUAAUUUCAUUCCAAUCACAAUCAUUUAGAUAUUGUUUUAAUUUUCUAUAUUUGGAAGAGUGUUCCACAAACACUUCAAUAAUUCAUUUUUUAUACUUUAAUAAUCCCUAUGUGGAUCACCAAUAAAUGUCCUUCAAUAAGGAUAAUUUUGCUGGGUCACAUUAUCCGAAUUUGAUCAUAGCUGAAGAAAUUUCUUAAUGCCAUCUUGGGGAAUGUUAUCCUGCGAGAAUGAGAGAGAAAGUCCCUCAACAAAGGUUUAAGGAUGGAUUUUAUCCUCCAUUUCCUUCCGAGACUUUAUUUCUCGACAUUUUAUUAACAUCUAUGUGUAUAUUCAAGUAUUUUAUAUAUUUAUUUAUAUUUUUAAACAAUGAGUAUAAAUUUUAUUUAUAUGUGAUGUGAUGUUUCAACUAAUUUAAUAGAAAAUAAUAGAAAUUUGACGGAUCUCUACAAAAACUGCAGAUCUUCGAGGAUGGAGAUGGAAAAUAGUACUCCUUGAAGCGGAGAAUGU